RNAcentral lists this long non-coding RNA (978 nucleotides) under Pogona vitticeps (central bearded dragon). RNAcentral describes it as "lncRNA (ENSPVIG00000006627.1)". The record is from RNAcentral. Lineage: Eukaryota; Metazoa; Chordata; Lepidosauria; Squamata; Agamidae.
AUUUUGGCAUGAUGCUUGGGACCUAUCCUGGCUCAUCUCUUCUUUCUGGAGGAACAGAAACAGUAUCUGUGCAACCUGACCUGGACAGUGCCAAGCUGCGGAGAGACGCUGGCCGCUUCCCUCUCUCGGACCUCUCUCUGAACCUCAAGGGUAUAGUGGUGACCUUUGAGGACGUAGCUGUGUAUUUUACGGAGAAGGAGUGGACUCUGCUGGAUCCGGCCAAAGGGCUCUCCACAGGGACGUCAUGGAGGAGAAUUGGGCCAAUCUGGUCUCCCUAGCUACUGAUAUGGAAGGAAAGAAGAGUGAGAAAGAAAUAAAAAGCCACUCCCUGGGAACAGCCAUUAAUAAAAAGCAGAAACACGGCCCGAAAAGCACUAAUAACAAGAAGGGGAAAGAAACAAAUUGUCCAGUGGUCUCCACCGAGCAAGAACAGUAUGCAUCGGCUUUGAUUUAUCUGCUGGGCACUGACUUCAUUAACCGACAUGGCGAAGCAGGACAGUUCAUCUAUUAUCUGCGCCGAAAGCGUGCGGGAGCGAGGCAGACGUGGAUUCCUGGUUGGAUUCAUUACAAAUGCAAAAAGUUGACCCUGAACAAUCUGGGGCUUCAGUGAAGCAAGAAGCCAAUAAUGGCUUGAGGCUCGGACUCAGAACUACAUUCUUCCAUACUCACGUACAGAUGCUUCUCAUUUCACUUUUCUUCGUGUAAUUUUUACUUUUGCAGAUUCCAACUGCUCUGGGGCCUUUUCAGCUAGAGAGCUGGUGAAAGGUUAGGGGCAGAUGUAGUGAUUUAUAACAGGCUACCCACGGCUGAUUUUGCACAACUAAUGUUAUGAUACUUAAUACAGGCUUACACUUUUCAUUUCGUCAUGGCAUUGCAUUGUGUUAAUUGAUUUUCCUUUGAUUUCUUUUGUAAUCUUAUUCCCUGUUCACCUGAUGUGAUUUAAAUAAAACUUUUCCUUUAUUAUACCUGCCGGUGGCU